This 752-nucleotide ribosomal RNA is filed under the name Vibrio sp. ACH-44. RNAcentral describes it as "bacterial SSU rRNA". It matches the Rfam family "Bacterial small subunit ribosomal RNA", at positions 45 to 776 of the family's 1533-position model. The record is from RNAcentral. Lineage: Bacteria; Pseudomonadati; Pseudomonadota; Gammaproteobacteria; Vibrionales; Vibrionaceae.
GGCCUAACACAUGCAAGUCGAGCGGAAACGACACUAACAAUCCUUCGGGUGCGUUAAUGGGCGUCGAGCGGCGGACGGGUGAGUAAUGCCUAGGAAAUUGCCUUGAUGUGGGGGAUAACCAUUGGAAACGAUGGCUAAUACCGCAUGAUGCCUACGGGCCAAAGAGGGGGACCUUCGGGCCUCUCGCGUCAAGAUAUGCCUAGGUGGGAUUAGCUAGUUGGUGAGGUAAUGGCUCACCAAGGCGACGAUCCCUAGCUGGUCUGAGAGGAUGAUCAGCCACACUGGAACUGAGACACGGUCCAGACUCCUACGGGAGGCAGCAGUGGGGAAUAUUGCACAAUGGGCGAAAGCCUGAUGCAGCCAUGCCGCGUGUAUGAAGAAGGCCUUCGGGUUGUAAAGUACUUUCAGUUGUGAGGAAGGGUGUGUAGUUAAUAGCUGCGCAUCUUGACGUUAGCAACAGAAGAAGCACCGGCUAACUCCGUGCCAGCAGCCGCGGUAAUACGGAGGGUGCGAGCGUUAAUCGGAAUUACUGGGCGUAAAGCGCAUGCAGGUGGUUCAUUAAGUCAGAUGUGAAAGCCCGGGGCUCAACCUCGGAACUGCAUUUGAAACUGGUGAACUAGAGUACUGUAGAGGGGGGUAGAAUUUCAGGUGUAGCGGUGAAAUGCGUAGAGAUCUGAAGGAAUACCAGUGGCGAAGGCGGCCCCCUGGACAGAUACUGACACUCAGAUGCGAAAGCGUGGGGAGCAAACAGG